UUAUAAAUGCUCAGGAAACUGUUGAAGAGCUUACAGAGAGUCUAAGAGAAGAGAAACAAUUAUUAAAGACUUUAAUGGAAAGAAAUAAAGACAAAUAGUGUAUCAAAUAUGAGUUUAAACUACAAAAGAAGAGUCUACCAGUUCAUUUCAAUGAAUCCUCAACAGUUGAUAAUGUACAAGGAUUUAUGAGGAGAGAUGAUGGAGAGAUUGAGUCCUUUUCAUUUGAUAUUAGUAAAUGUGAUCAUGUGGAUAUAGCUAACUCACUGUGGGGACUAUCAACAAAUGGAGUUAAUGAAGAACUACUAACUAGUGAAACUAAACAAAAUUAAAUAAAAGUCUAAUUAUAAAAUCAUUUAAAAAUUAUUACAUAGCGAGUAACUGUUUGCAGGAUUGCAGCAUUGCAAUUACAAAAAUAAAAAUUAAAAUGACACUUAGAAAUUCAACCAAUACA
Molecule: long non-coding RNA, 451 nt
Organism: Amphimedon queenslandica
Lineage: Eukaryota; Metazoa; Porifera; Demospongiae; Haplosclerida; Niphatidae
Exons: 3
Source: RefSeq, a predicted model, not a curated record